Molecule: ribosomal RNA, 403 nt
Filed under: uncultured bacterium
Lineage: Bacteria
Description: bacterial SSU rRNA
Rfam family: Bacterial small subunit ribosomal RNA
Source: RNAcentral
UAGGGAAUAUUGCAAAAUGGGCGAAAGCCCGAUGCAGCAACGCCGCGUGGGCGAUGAAGGCCUUCGGGUCGUAAAGCCCUUUUUGAGGGGAUGAGGAAGGACAGUACCCUCAGAAUAAGCCUCGGCUAACUACGUGCCAGCAGCCGCGGUAAAACGUAGGAGGCGAGCGUUAUCCGGAUUUACUGGGCGUAAAGCGCGUGCAGGCGGAUUGGAGAGUUGGAUGUGAAAGCUCCCGGCUUAACUGGGAGAGGUCGUUCAAUACUUCCAGUCUUGAGUGCAGUAGAGGGAAAUGGAAUUCCGGGUGUAGUGGUGAAAUGCGUAGAUAUCCGGAGGAACACCAGUGGCGAAAGCGGCUUCCUGGACUGUAACUGACGCUCAGACGCGAAAGCUAGGGUAGCAAACG